CCUACGGGUGGCAGCAGUGAGGAAUAUUGGUCAAUGGACGGAAGUCUGAACCAGCCAUGCCGCGUGCAGGAUGACGGCUCUAUGAGUUGUAAACUGCGUUUGUACGAGAAAAAGAGUUCUUACGUGGAGGGAUUUGAAUGUAUCGUAAGAAUAAGGAUCGGCUAACUCCGUGCCAGCAGCCGCGGUAAUACGGAGGAUUCGAGCGUUAUCCGGAUUUAUUGGGUUUAAAGGGUGCGUAUGCUGUCGGACAAGUUAGAGGUCAAAUGUCGGGGCUCAACCCAGGGCCUGCCUCUGAUACUGUCAGACUAGAGAGCCGAUGCAGCAGGCGGAAUGAGUAGUGUAGCGGUGAAAUGCUUAGAUAUUACUCAGAACACCGAUUGCGCAGGCAGCUUGCUACUCCGCAUCUGACGCUGAUGCACGAAAGCGUGGGUAGCGAACAGGAUUAGAUACCCGUGUAGUC
RNAcentral lists this ribosomal RNA (460 nucleotides) under uncultured bacterium. RNAcentral's name for it is "partial 16S ribosomal RNA". It matches the Rfam family "Bacterial small subunit ribosomal RNA", at positions 338 to 795 of the family's 1533-position model. The record is from RNAcentral.